UACGGAGGGUGCAAGCGUUUGUCCGGAUUUAUUGGGUUUAAAGGGUGCGUAGGCGGCCCUGUAAGUCAGUGGUGAAAUACUGCAGCUUAACUGUAGCAUUGCCAUUGAUACUGCAGGGCUUGAGUACAGAUGAGGUAGGCGGAAUUGAUGGUGUAGCGGUGAAAUGCAUAGAUACCAUCAAGAACACCGAUUGCGAAGGCAGCUUACUAGCUGUAACUGACGCUGAGGCACGAAAGCGUGGGGGAUCGAACAGG
RNAcentral lists this ribosomal RNA (254 nucleotides) under uncultured bacterium. Its description in RNAcentral is "partial 16S ribosomal RNA". It matches the Rfam family "Bacterial small subunit ribosomal RNA", at positions 524 to 776 of the family's 1533-position model. The record is from RNAcentral.